Molecule: ribosomal RNA, 438 nt
Filed under: uncultured bacterium
Lineage: Bacteria
Description: partial 16S ribosomal RNA
Rfam family: Bacterial small subunit ribosomal RNA
Source: RNAcentral
CUACGGGUGGCUGCAGUGGGGAAUAUUGCACAAUGGAGGAAACUCUGAUGCAGCAACGCCGCGUGGAGGAUGACACUUUUCGGAGCGUAAACUCCUUUAUAUAGGAAGAAGAUGACGAUACUAUAUGAAUAAGCGCCGGCUAACUCCGUGCCAGCAGCCGCGGUAAUACGGAGGGCGCAAGCGUUACUCGGAAUCACUGGGCGUAAAGAGCGUGUAGGCGGAUUAAAAAGUCAGAAGUGAAAUCCUAUAGCUUAACUAUAGAACUGCUUCUGAAACUCUUAAUCUAGAAUAUGGGAGAGGUAGAUGGAAUUUCUGGUGUAGGGGUAAAAUCCGUAGAGAUCAGAAGGAAUACCGAUUGCGAAGGCGAUCUACUAGAACAUUAUUGACGCUGAGACGCGAAAGCGUGGGGAGCAAACAGGAUUAGAUACCCGGGUAGUC